RNAcentral lists this ribosomal RNA (200 nucleotides) under uncultured bacterium. RNAcentral's name for it is "partial 16S ribosomal RNA". It matches the Rfam family "Bacterial small subunit ribosomal RNA", at positions 524 to 724 of the family's 1533-position model. The record is from RNAcentral.
UACGUAGGGUGCAAGCGUUGUCCGGAAUUAUUGGGCGUAAAGAGCUCGUAGGCGGUCUGUCGCGUCUGCUGUGAAAACCUAGGGCUUAACUCUGGGCGUGCAGUGGGUACGGGCAGGGCUAGAGUGCGGUAGGGGAGACUGGAAUUCCUGGUAUAGCGGUGAAAUGCGCAGAUAUAGGAGGACACCGGUGGCGAAGGCGG